Molecule: non-coding RNA, 72 nt
Organism: Phrynosoma platyrhinos (Desert horned lizard)
Lineage: Eukaryota; Metazoa; Chordata; Lepidosauria; Squamata; Phrynosomatidae
Source: the annotation of a GenBank genome assembly
GCCAGCAUGGUGUAGUGGUUUGAACAUCGGACUAUGACUCUGGAGUCCAGGGUUCAAAUCCCAGCUCUGCCA